AGUCGAGGGGUUAGGUUUUCGGACCUAGAGACCGGCGCACGGGUGCGUAACGCGUAUGCAAUCUACCUUUUACAGAGGGAUAGCCCAGAGAAAUUUGGAUUAAUACCUCAUAGUAUUAUUGAAUGGCAUCAUUUAAUAAUUAAAGUCACAACGGUAAAAGAUGAGCAUGCGUCCCAUUAGCUUGUUGGUAAGGUAACGGCUUACCAAGGCAACGAUGGGUAGGGGUCCUGAGAGGGAGAUCCCCCACACUGGUACUGAGACACGGACCAGACUCCUACGGGAGGCAGCAGUGAGGAAUAUUGGUCAAUGGGCGCAAGCCUGAACCAGCCAUGCCGCGUGCAGGAUGAAGCAUCUAUGGUGUGUAAACUGCUUUUGUACGAGAAGAAACACUCCUUCGUGAAGGAGCUUGACGGUAUCGUAAGAAUAAGGACCGGCUAACUCCGUGCCAGCAGCCGCGGUAAUACGGAGGGUCCAAGCGUUAUCCGGAAUCAUUGGGUUUAAAGGGUCCGUAGGCGGUUUUGUAAGUCAGUGGUGAAAGCCCAUCGCUCAACGGUGGAACGGCCAUUGAUACUGCAAGACUUGAAUUAUUAGGAAGUAACUAGAAUAUGUAGUGUAGCGGUGAAAUGCUUAGAGAUUACAUGGAAUACCAAUUGCGAAGGCAGGUUACUACUAAUGGAUUGACGCUGAUGGACGAAAGCGUGGGUAGCGAACAGGACUAGAUACCCUGGUAGUCCACGCCGUANACGAUGGAUACUAGCUGUUCGGAGCAAUCUGAGUGGCUAAGCGAAAGUGAUAAGUAUCCCACCUGGGGAGUACGUUCGCAAGAAUGAAACUCAAAGGAAUUGACGGGGGCCCGCACAAGCGGUGG
This 868-nucleotide ribosomal RNA is filed under the name uncultured bacterium. RNAcentral's name for it is "bacterial SSU rRNA". It matches the Rfam family "Bacterial small subunit ribosomal RNA", at positions 60 to 935 of the family's 1533-position model. The record is from RNAcentral.